RNAcentral lists this ribosomal RNA (469 nucleotides) under uncultured bacterium. Its description in RNAcentral is "partial 16S ribosomal RNA". It matches the Rfam family "Bacterial small subunit ribosomal RNA", at positions 28 to 507 of the family's 1533-position model. The record is from RNAcentral.
GACGAACGCUGGCGGCGUGCUUAACACAUGCAAGUCGAACGGAAAGGCCCUGCUUACAGGGUGCUCGAGUGGCGAACGGGUGAGUAACACGUGGGUGAUCUGCCCCUUACUUUGGGAUAAGCCUGGGAAACUGGGUCUAAUACUGGAUAGGACCAUGCUGUAGGUGGUGUGGUGGAAAGAUUAGUUUCGGUAAGGGAUGAGCUCGCGGCCUAUCAGCUUGUUGGUGGGGUAAUGGCCUACCAAGGCGUCGACGGGUAGCCGGCCUGAGAGGGUGGACGGCCACAUUGGGACUGAGAUACGGCCCAGACUCCUACGGGAGGCAGCAGUGGGGAAUAUUGCACAAUGGGCGCAAGCCUGAUGCAGCGACGCCGCGUGGGGGAUGACGGCCUUCGGGUUGUAAACUCCUUUCGGCCAUGACGAAGCCCUUGUGGUGACGGUAGUGGUAGAAGAAGCACCGGCUAACUACGUG